UACGGGGGGGGCAAGCGUUGUUCGGAAUUACUGGGCGUAAAGGGCUCGUAGGCGGCCAACUAAGUCAGACGUGAAAUCCCCAGGCUCAACCUGGGAACUGCGUCUGAUACUGAUUGGCUUGAAUCCGGGAGAGGGAUGCAGAAUUCCAGGUGUAGCGGUGAAAUGCGUAGAUAUCUGGAGGAAUACCGGUGGCGAAGGCGGCAUCCUGGACCGAGAUUGACACUGAGGAGCGAAAGCCAGGGGAGCAAACGGG
This 253-nucleotide ribosomal RNA is filed under the name uncultured bacterium. RNAcentral describes it as "partial 16S ribosomal RNA". It matches the Rfam family "Bacterial small subunit ribosomal RNA", at positions 524 to 776 of the family's 1533-position model. The record is from RNAcentral.